Molecule: long non-coding RNA, 2463 nt
Filed under: Homo sapiens (human)
Lineage: Eukaryota; Metazoa; Chordata; Mammalia; Primates; Hominidae
Description: HSALNT0010136
Source: RNAcentral
CCCAGGCUAGCCACAGGGAAUAUGGGACACUAAGCAUCCAAGGCAGUCAACAGGCUCAAUUCCCUACUUUGCCUGAGUUCAGCAAGCCCUUUUCCUUAAGGGCAAAUGGAUGGCAAAGACAUUGGCAUCUGCACUGGAAACUUCCGCAGGAGAGGAGCCAUACUUGUUUGUACAAAUAGCAUUCUGGGUUUGCCCUGUGUCUGCAAGCGUUGAUUCACCAUAUUGCUUCUGAAGGAGAAGACUAUCCUCGACGUUGCAAUCAGAGCCACAUCAGCUGGGUCCCUCUCAGGAUAUUCCACGCUUAUGACAGUGAGCUAGUUAUCUGAUGGAAACAGAGCAGGAGCUUGCCAUCACCAGCCAAGCUGAUUGACUGUGUCCUAUACCAGCAUCCGCCUUUGAUAUUCAUGUUUUCAGGAAAGCUGCAUCCCUUUCACUUAUACUCUUGCUGGGGUCUCUUUAUGCACCCACUAUUACUACCGUUACAGCAUCUGUCCUCCAACUGUGAAGGAAGCUCAUCAGGAUCACCUGCGUAUCUACUAACCGUGGGUGCCAUCAGAAAUGCAAUGUCGUCAGCACCUUCUCUCCACUCUUAAGACAUUACAUCUCCACAGCCCUUGCAGCCCUUCUAGCAGCUGGAAAUUCCUGAUUUUCAAUACAAUUUGCUUCUUCCUCUUCAUAUUGCUUAGUAUCAGGGCCAACUUUUUAAGGCAAUCUUAAUGAACCUAUAACCAGUGUGUUAAAUAUAUUUGUUGAGUUUUUCCAUAAAGCUAAGUUAAUAUAACAUGAUUGUUUUCUUAUGCACCCUGUGGGGAGUAAGGAAGGUAGGGGGUAGGAAAAGUGGGGGUGUGUAAUUGACAUAGUUGGUAUAUUGCCAAAUUUACUCACCUUUCAGGACCCCCCACCCAACAGUGAGCCGAUGGCCUUCAGGUUAGCUGAGCUUUCUAAAAUAAGCAGUUCGUCUAUGGACUGAAGUCAAGAGCUCAAGCAUCAAGUACACGUCUUUGAGAAAAGCUGCCAUGCUUGGAAAAGUUAACUUUUCAGAUGCUGAUAGAAAUGAACUCUUAACCACUAGCAUGGGCAAACUUCAAAGUUGAACUGUGUGCUUGCUGCUUUCUUUCCUAGAAUUCUUGUCAUUACAAAACUAUGUAAGAUCAACGCAAAACUAUCUGUGAUGUUGAUCAAAUGCAAUAAAAAGAAUGAUACAGCCAUAUUUAAGUUUCUAUAACUUGUAUUGUCUGUGGAACUUUAUAUAGUGCCUAGUUUGCAGGAGAUUCUCAAGUAUUGGAGAUUGUUUCUGGGCAUUUCUUUGUGAUCUCCCUGUUUAGUUCUGUGAGAGCUGGCAAAUAUUGUCGGUAGCUUUAGCAGUCAAUUAAAACUCAAACCUUUAAAACUGCAAAGUGGGAAGACAGUAUCAAAACAUUUUUUAAAAUGAGAAAUCAAGUAAAAUAUACUAAGUUAUAAUCCCAGACUCUGGAUACAGACUACUUGUGUUUUGGUUUUAGCCAUUUAUUUACUAGCUAUACAAUGGUGGGCACGUGUCUUAACCUUUCUGUGACUCAGUUUUCUCAUCAGUACAAUUGGAGAUAAUAAUAGUAGUUACUCAUUGCAUUAGAAUGAAAAUCAAUUGAGUUCAUGUCUAUAAAGGGUUAGUGCUUUGCACACAAUAAGUGCAUUUGGCUAUUUAUUAAAUAAAAUACUCUCAGGAUGUGGUCAUUUAUUAGAGGGCAUUACUUCCUGGUCAGAUUCAAAAGCAGCAUAGAUGGAAUGAAUACAUACAUUCACAUAGUUAAUAUAUUUAGUUAUUAAUCCAUUAACAAUAAAUUCACUUAACAACAACGUAUUUCAGUACCAUGGUAAAUAUUCAAAUUGAAAUAAAGUACUGGAAACUGAGCAUUUAUAGCCUUGGCAUUGACAAUAUUUUUUAAAAUUUGGAUAAAGUUUGCAGCAAACUGACAGAGGUUUUGAAUUCCAACUGUGACAUUUACAAACUACAUAAUUAAGAUUUCUACUGUCUACUUCUAUUACCUGUAAAAUGGGUUCUUAUAUUACCUCAUGCAACAGGCUUGUGGUGCGGACUAAAUAAAUCAAUAUCUAGAAAGUGUUUAUCACAGUAUCCAACACAAUAAAGUAACCACACGGCAAUAUGGAGAAUCUUUUCUUUUUAAUUAGGAGGCCAUAAAACAUUUUUGGACAUGAAAAUUGAAUAACUUGUGUGGUUAUUAAGAAAUAGCAUCUGAAGAACACAAAAAUCCCAGAAAUUUUAAAGAUUCAGAAAGCAAAGAACAGAUUUAAAGAUUAUCUAAAGCUUAAAAUUUUGUUUUCUUUUGUGGCAUAGUUUUGGACUUGCAGCUAUCAAGCUAUAGUACCCAUGAAAAGGAAAGGCUUUUUCCUUUUACGCUAAAAUUUUAAAACAGAGAAGCAGUGAAUAUUAUGAGACAUAACAAUUGCUCAUGGUUAGCAAAG